GCAGGACAGAGAUAGAGAGAGACCCAGUGAAGACCUUUGAAGAUCUCUGAAGAAGUGAAGCUACAACUGAAGACUUCAGAAGGAGACGAUCACCAUGGCAACAUUGACCAUCCUUCUGCUUGUCAGCACAGCUUUUGCUCUGGGAGAUGCUACGAUCCGAUCCAAGACCCCCUGUGAGCGUGCUAGAGAUGAUGUGAUACAUGGCCUAAUUGAAGCCUUCAUCCCCACGUGUGACGCCGCUGGACAAUACACCCCUGAGCAAUG
This is a long non-coding RNA of Salvelinus fontinalis (brook trout), 264 nucleotides long. RefSeq lists it as uncharacterized. The transcript is spliced from 3 exons. NCBI's taxonomy places the organism in Eukaryota, Metazoa, Chordata, Actinopteri, Salmoniformes, Salmonidae. The record is from RefSeq and is a predicted model, not a curated record.